UACGUAGGGGGCAAGCGUUGUCCGGAAUCAUUGGGCGUAAAGAGCGCGUAGGCGGCCCUGUAAGUCCGCUGUGAAAGUCAAGGGCUCAACCCUUGAAUGCCGGUGGAUACUGCAGGGCUAGAGUCCGGAAGAGGCGAGUGGAAUUCCUGGUGUAGCGGUGAAAUGCGCAGAUAUCUGGAGGAACACCGGUGGCGAAGGCGGCAUUCUGGACCGAUAUUGACGCUGAGGAGCGAAAAGCCAGGGGAGCAAAGCGGG
This 255-nucleotide ribosomal RNA is filed under the name uncultured bacterium. RNAcentral describes it as "partial 16S ribosomal RNA". It matches the Rfam family "Bacterial small subunit ribosomal RNA", at positions 524 to 777 of the family's 1533-position model. The record is from RNAcentral.